This 229-nucleotide long non-coding RNA is filed under the name Hordeum vulgare. RNAcentral describes it as "long non-coding RNA (HVUL_LNC001485)". The record is from RNAcentral. Lineage: Eukaryota; Viridiplantae; Streptophyta; Magnoliopsida; Poales; Poaceae.
AUAUUCCUCACUUGUUGGUAAUUUGCAGUAGCAAAAACCUAACUCCUCAAUUAGAGAAAAUUCCUAAGAGACCAUUAGAUCUUCGUCUCUCUCACUGAAGAAUUUGACUAAACUGUAAAAGAUUUCCAAAGGCUUCACUCGAAGGAUUGGGCAUGUGUAGGCUUUGAGAUGAGCAUCACUUGGAAAGUUUUCCUUAGUUUUACCUCGAACUCCUUUAAUAGUAUGGUGG